UACGGAGGGGGCUAGCGUUGUUCGGAAUUACUGGGCGUAAAGCGCGUGUAGGCUGUUCUGCAAGUCGGGUGUGAAAGCCCCGGGCUCAACCUGGGAAGUGCACUCGAAACUGCAGAACUUGAGUCCUGGAGAGGAAGGCGGAAUUCUCGGUGUAGAGGUGAAAUUCGUAGAUAUCGAGAGGAACACCGGUGGCGAAGGCGGCCUUCUGGACAGUGACUGACGCUGAGACGCGAAAGCGUGGGGAGCAAACGGG
Molecule: ribosomal RNA, 253 nt
Filed under: uncultured bacterium
Lineage: Bacteria
Description: partial 16S ribosomal RNA
Rfam family: Bacterial small subunit ribosomal RNA
Source: RNAcentral